GACGAACGCUGGCGGCGUGCUUAACACAUGCAAGUCGAACGGACAGGCCCUGCUUUUGUGGGGUGCUCGAGUGGCGAACGGGUGAGUAACACGUGAGUAACCUGCCCUUGUCUUUGGGAUAACUUCAGGAAACUGGGGCUAAUACCGGAUAGGAGCUCCUGCUGCAUGGUGGGGGUUGGAAAGUGUCGGCGGUUGGGGAUGGACUCGCGGCUUAUCCGCUUGUUGGUGUGGUAGUGGCUUACCAAGGCUUUGACGGCUAGCCUGCCUGAGAGGGUGACCGGCCACAUUGGGACUGAGAUACGGCGCAGUCGCCUACGGGACGCAGCAGUGGGGAAUAUUGCACAAUGGGCGGAAGCCUGAGGCAGCAACGCCGCGUGCGGGAUGACGGCCUACGGGUUGUAAACCGCUUUCGCAUGUGACGAAGCGGGAGUGACGGUAAUGGGUAAGGAAGCACCGGCUAACUACGUG
RNAcentral lists this ribosomal RNA (468 nucleotides) under uncultured bacterium. RNAcentral's name for it is "partial 16S ribosomal RNA". It matches the Rfam family "Bacterial small subunit ribosomal RNA", at positions 28 to 507 of the family's 1533-position model. The record is from RNAcentral.